CUGUGAAUAAUCUUGCUGUUCUGAUUUUGUCAUAAUCAGGACAGGCUAACCUUAUUCGUUAUAUUAAGACCAUGCAUGUGUCCCCAGACCUAGGUCUUUACCCACCUAGGUCUGGUCUUAGUAAUGCUGGUGAUAAAU
Molecule: small nucleolar RNA, 138 nt
Organism: Suncus etruscus (white-toothed pygmy shrew)
Lineage: Eukaryota; Metazoa; Chordata; Mammalia; Eulipotyphla; Soricidae
Product: small nucleolar RNA SNORA72
Exons: 1
Source: RefSeq, a predicted model, not a curated record